CUGACCCAGCGAAUGGGGGCACGCCGACCACGGUAAGGUCAGCGACUGGGGCG
RNAcentral lists this ribosomal RNA (53 nucleotides) under uncultured bacterium. RNAcentral's name for it is "partial 16S ribosomal RNA". The record is from RNAcentral.